Molecule: ribosomal RNA, 254 nt
Filed under: uncultured bacterium
Lineage: Bacteria
Description: partial 16S ribosomal RNA
Rfam family: Bacterial small subunit ribosomal RNA
Source: RNAcentral
UACGUAGGGUGCAAGCGUUAAUCGGAAUUACUGGGCGUAAAGCGUGCGCAGGCGGUGAUGUAAGACAGGUGUGAAAUCCCCGGGCUUAACCUGGGAACUGCAUUGGUGACUGGCAGGCUUUGAGUGUGGCAGAGGGAGGUAGAAUUCCACGUGUAGCAGUGAAAUGCGUAGAGAUGUGGAGGAAUACCGAUGGCGAAGGCAGCCUCCUGGGCCAACACUGACGCUCAUGCACGAAAGCGUGGGGAGCAAACAGG